This 210-nucleotide unclassified non-coding RNA is filed under the name uncultured Trechisporales. Its description in RNAcentral is "sequence contains ITS2". Lineage: Eukaryota; Fungi; Basidiomycota; Agaricomycetes; Trechisporales. The record is from RNAcentral.
AGUCAUCAACCCAGACCGUUUUUCUAACGGCCGGGGUUGGAGCUGGGGGACUUUGCCGAUCGCCUCGAUCGGCUCCCCUCAAAUGCGUCGGUUGGGCCUGCGGGUCGAACGUUUGGGCGUUGUACCAUCCUCGCUCUACAUAGACCUGCUGAACUGUGCCCCUCCUCGACCUUGCCCGACUGGUUUCGGGUGGUCAAUGCAAACUUUGAA